GAUGAACGCUGGCGGCGUGCUUAACACAUGCAAGUCGAACGGGAAACCUUUUAUUGAAGCUUCGGCAGAUUUAGCUGGUUUCUAGUGGCGGACGGGUGAGUAACGCGUGGGUAACCUGCCUUAUACAGGGGGAUAACAGUCAGAAAUGGCUGCUAAUACCGCAUAAGCGCACAGAGCUGCAUGGCUCAGUGUGAAAAACUCCGGUGGUAUAAGAUGGACCCGCGUUGGAUUAGCUGGUUGGUGGGGUAACGGCCCACCAAGGCGACGAUCCAUAGCCGGCCUGAGAGGGUGAACGGCCACAUUGGGACUGAGACACGGCCCAGACUCCUACGGGAGGCAGCAGUGGGGAAUAUUGCACAAUGGGGGAAACCCUGAUGCAGCGACGCCGCGUGAAGGAAGAAGUAUCUCGGUAUGUAAACUUCUAUCAGCAGGGAAGAUAAUGACGGUACCGGACUAAGAAGCCCCGGCUAACUACGU
This 477-nucleotide ribosomal RNA is filed under the name uncultured bacterium. Its description in RNAcentral is "partial 16S ribosomal RNA". It matches the Rfam family "Bacterial small subunit ribosomal RNA", at positions 28 to 506 of the family's 1533-position model. The record is from RNAcentral.